UACGGAGGAUGCGAGCGUUAUCCGGAUUUAUUGGGUUUAAAGGGUGCGUAGGUUGUUUUUUAAGUCAGCGGUGAAAGUUUGCGGCUCAACCGUAAAAUUGCAGUUGAUACUGGCAUCCUUGAGUACAGUAGAGGUAGGCGGAAUUCGUGGUGUAGCGGUGAAAUGCUUAGAUAUCACGAAGAACUCCGAUUGCGAAGGCAGCCUGCCGCAGCGUUACUGACGCUGAAGCUCGAAAGCGCGGGUAUCGAACAGG
RNAcentral lists this ribosomal RNA (253 nucleotides) under uncultured Bacteroides sp. RNAcentral describes it as "partial 16S ribosomal RNA". It matches the Rfam family "Bacterial small subunit ribosomal RNA", at positions 524 to 776 of the family's 1533-position model. Lineage: Bacteria; Pseudomonadati; Bacteroidota; Bacteroidia; Bacteroidales; Bacteroidaceae. The record is from RNAcentral.